UACAGAGGGGGGCAAGCGUUUAUUCGGAAUUACUGGGCGUAAAGGGCGCGUAGGCGGCCUUCUAAGUCGAACGUGAAAUCCCCGGGCUCAACCCGGGAACUGCGUCCGGAUACUGGAAGGCUUGAAUCCGGGAGAGGGAUGCGGAAUUCCAGGUGUAGCGGUGGAAUGCGUAGGAGAGUCGGGAAGAACAUCAGUGGCGAAGGCGGCCUGCUGGGCUGUUGCUGACGCUGAGGCGCGACAGCGUGGGGA
Molecule: ribosomal RNA, 249 nt
Filed under: uncultured bacterium
Lineage: Bacteria
Description: partial 16S ribosomal RNA
Rfam family: Bacterial small subunit ribosomal RNA
Source: RNAcentral